CCGUCUCAGUUCGGAUCGCAGGCUGCAACCCGCCUGCGUGAAGUCGGAAUCGCUAGUAAUCGCGGAUCAGCAUGCCGCGGUGAAUACGUUCCCGGGCCUUGUACACACCGCCCGUCACACCAUGAGAGUCGGGAACACCCGAAGUCCGUAGCCUAACUAGCAAUAGAGGGCGCGGCCGAAGGUGGGUUCGAUAAUUGGGGUGAAGUCGUAACAAGGUAGC
This 220-nucleotide ribosomal RNA is filed under the name uncultured bacterium. RNAcentral's name for it is "partial 16S ribosomal RNA". It matches the Rfam family "Bacterial small subunit ribosomal RNA", at positions 1283 to 1500 of the family's 1533-position model. The record is from RNAcentral.